UGCAGUCGAGCGAUUUACUUCGGUAAAGAGCGGCGGACGGGUGAGUAACGCGUGGGUAACCUGCCUCAUACACAUGGAUAACAUACCGAAAGGUAUGCUAAUACAGGAUAAUAUAAGAGAUUCACAUGGAUUUCUUAUCAAAGCUCCGGCGGUAUGAGAUGGACCCGCGUCUGAUUAGCUAGUUGGUAAGGUAAUGGCUUACCAAGGCGACGAUCAGUAGCCGACCUGAGAGGGUGAUCGGCCACAUUGGAACUGAGACACGGUCCAAACUCCUACGGGAGGCAGCAGUGGGGAAUAUUGCACAAUGGGCGAAAGCCUGAUGCAGCAACGCCGCGUGAGUGAUGAAGGCCUUCGGGUCGUAAAACUCUGUCCUCAAGGAAGAUAAUGACGGUACUUGAGGAGGAAGCCCCGGCUAACUACGUGCCAGCAGCCGCGGUAAUACGUAGGGGGCUAGCGUUAUCCGGAUUUACUGGGGCGUAAAGGGUGCGUAGGUGGUUUUUUAAGUCAGGAGUGAAAGGCUACGGCUCAACCGUAGUAAGCUCUUGAAACUGGAAAACUUGAGUGCAGGAGAGGAAAGUGGAAUUCCUAGUGUAGCGGUGAAAUGCGUAGAUAUUAGGAGGAACACCAGUAGCGAAGGCGGCUUUCUGGACUGUAACUGACACUGAGCACGAAAGCGGUGGGGGAGCAAACAGGAUUAGAUACCCUGGUAGUCACGCGUAAACGAUGAGUACUAGUGUCGGGGUACCCCCCUCGU
This 754-nucleotide ribosomal RNA is filed under the name uncultured bacterium. Its description in RNAcentral is "bacterial SSU rRNA". It matches the Rfam family "Bacterial small subunit ribosomal RNA", at positions 56 to 837 of the family's 1533-position model. The record is from RNAcentral.